CGAAAGUUACGCUAAUACCGCAUACGUCCUGAGGAGAAGCGGGGACCGUAAGGCCUCGCGCGAUUGGAGCGGCCGAUGUCAGAUUAGCUAGUUGGUGGGGUAAAGGCCCACCAAGGCGACGAUCUGUAGCUGGUCUGAGAGGACGACCAGCCACACUGGAACUGAGACACGGUCCAGACUCCUACGGGAGGCAGCAGUGGGGAAUUUUGGACAAUGGGCGCAAGCCUGAUCCAGCAAUGCCGCGUGCAGGAAGAAGGCCUUCGGGUUGUAAACUGCUUUUGUACGGAACGAAACGGUCUGGGCUAAUACCCCGGGCUAAUGACGGUACCGUAAGAAUAAGCACCGGCUAACUACGUG
This 357-nucleotide ribosomal RNA is filed under the name uncultured bacterium. RNAcentral describes it as "bacterial SSU rRNA". It matches the Rfam family "Bacterial small subunit ribosomal RNA", at positions 152 to 507 of the family's 1533-position model. The record is from RNAcentral.